UCCAGACUCCUACGGGAGGCAGCAGUGAGGAAUAUUGGUCAAUGGGCGCGAGCCUGAACCAGCCAAGUCGCGUGAGGGAAGACGGUCCUAUGGAUUGUAAACCUCUUUUGUCGGGGAGCAAAAGACGCCACGCGUGGCGUUCCGAGAGUACCCGAAGAAAAAGCAUCGGCUAACUCCGUGCCAGCAGCCGCGGUAAUACGGAGGAUGCGAGCGUUAUCCGGAUUUAUUGGGUUUAAAGGGUGCGUAGGCGGAAUGCCAAGUCAGGGGUAAAAUCGCGGGGCUCAACCUCGCUCCGCCGUUGAAACUGGCGUUCUUGAGUGGGCGAGAAGUAUGCGGAAUGCGUGGUGUAGCGGUGAAAUGCAUAGAUAUCACGCAGAACUCCGAUUGCGAAGGCAGCAUACCGGCGCCCGACUGACGCUGAGGCACGAAAGCGUGGGUAUCGAACAGGAUUAGAUACCCUCGUACC
Molecule: ribosomal RNA, 466 nt
Filed under: uncultured bacterium
Lineage: Bacteria
Description: bacterial SSU rRNA
Rfam family: Bacterial small subunit ribosomal RNA
Source: RNAcentral